Molecule: transfer RNA, 69 nt
Filed under: Ovis aries (sheep)
Lineage: Eukaryota; Metazoa; Chordata; Mammalia; Artiodactyla; Bovidae
Rfam family: tRNA
About the family: Transfer RNA (tRNA) molecules are approximately 80 nucleotides in length. Their secondary structure includes four short double-helical elements and three loops (D, anti-codon, and T loops).
Source: Rfam by way of RNAcentral
CCUGGUGGCUCAGAUGGUAAAGAAUCUGCCUUCAAUGCGGGAGACCUAGGUUCUAUCCUUGCAUCAGGA